AGCCCUCCAGCCCGUGCUCCUCAGUGCCCGGCAGGACUUGGGUCUGGCCCGAGGGCGCUCCCUGGGCUUCUCCCACACCCAGGAAGCUGGGUCUCCGUCCAGGGUGAACAGGGUGCUCCAAGGCUGGUGGAUACCUUGCCUCCCCACCCCUCUCCUGGCCAGCCCGAGGGCCAGGGGCUCCCGUUUCUCCAGGGGCCCCCUGUCCCGAAACAGUCGAGGACCACCAAGCCCCCAGUACUGUCCCGUGGGGUUUGGCAAGAUGGGAUUGGGUGAGGACCUGGCCAACUAACGAACCAGGCUAUCACUGGAAUUGACCAGUGGAGGCUGAGGAAACAGCAUGGACUUUCAUUCUCACUUUUCUAGAAAGCUUAUAAAGAUCCCUAGGCCAGUGCUGCCACCAGUGUGACCAGCUUAAGCCAGUCUUCUUUUGUUUCUCCAGUGACUCACGUGCAUGGAGGCAGGAAGGUCUAGUACGUCUCCACACAUCUUGCCCCGUGUAAUGUUCCAGAGGCCCAGAUAGUCUGGACCUUGUCUCUGGCUGCAUUAGCCUGACAGGUGCUUGUUCUGCGCUACUGACAGUAAGGCCUUGCUAGCCAGGCUAAGCCACGCCAGUGGCGCCCCCAUCCGGGCCACAAGGGCACACUCUUAGUUUAAACAAGAGAGAUGCUAGGUUCUCCAAGCAGCCAUGCCAAGGUGACAGGCCAGCCUCGCCCAUCCCACUAAUGCAAAUUGGGCCUCUGAUAAAACACAGGUCCUCGGAUGGACUGUCCUUCCUCUCUCGGAAGUCCUUUCCUGCCUGCCCGCAGUUGCAAUGACCUUGACAUCAAAGGCUUAGGAACCCAGGCCUCUGCAUAUUUGCUUACGCCUCCCAGGUCCCCAACCCUACUGGGACACAGUCACUCCGAGUAUCUGCUCCCACUUAUCACUUUACAUUGUUUUAUAAGGGAACUGCUUUUAGAUUCUACCCAAAUGAGGAAAGACUCUGGACUAUUUUUAAUUCUUUUUUAAAAAAGCCGCGAGGCAGAAGUCUCAAAGACCCAUCAUCGGGUUAUCUACGGCUCCUUUCAUUCUCUUCCGAAGCAGAGUAAGCCACAUUCAGAGUGAAGAGGCUCAGCUACGCCCGCGGUUGAGCCCUCUGCUGCUCCACCAGGAUGUACCCAGCAGUGGCUGCCCUGAGAAGCCAAAGACUCCAGCCACCCCAUCCCUGCCCAUCCCUGUGCUUCAAGUGGACCUGGCACAGUGGAGGUGCACCAGCAGAGAAACAGCCUACUGGGACAGGACCCUUCUCUGGUCAGGAAGGCCUGGGCCGCUGAGAUUCUGGAUGAAAGCUGCAUUGCCAAGAUCCCCCUCAUCCACCUCCAAAUGGCCCUACCUGAGGUGGCAGCCUCAUGCCUCAAGCUGCAGGAUGCCACAGGACAAGGCCCAGCCCUUCUUGCUAAGGGCCCCAAAAUAUCACGGUGAAGAUCUUCCUAGGAAAGAUAAAACAACAAGGAAUUCUCUAGAGAAAGAGAAUUUUAUUUUAAUUAUUUUUUGUUUGGUUGGUUUGGGUACUGCGUGCUUAACCACUGAGCCACAUCUCUAGCCUUUUUUAUAUUUUAUUUUGAGACAGGAUCUUGCUAAGUUCCUCAGGGCCUCGAAAAAUUGCUGAGGCUGGCUUUGAGCUUGUGAUCCUCCUGCCCCAGCCUCCUGAGCCUCUGGGAUUACAGCAUGUGCCACCACACCCGGCUUCAAGAGGGAAAAUUUAGAGACCAGGAAUGGAAAAAAACAGAAGUCAAAUCAUGACUAACUGUGAAAUCUUAGGAAGGCACCUGACCUCCCUGGGCCCGGGUUUCCCCUUUCGUAGAGCGGAAAUAUCACUGCCUGCCCCACCCCACAGGAGCUGCACUAGGAGGAGGAGCCCUUGCUGGGGAGGACCCUGCAGCCAGCAUGUCCUUGCAAUGCUACAACUCACCCAGCAGAAGAGCACAGGUGGUCCUUCAGAGGCCAUCCUGUGGUCACACAGAGGACAAGCCAACUUCCUGUGGGACCCAGGGAUGGUUUCAACUCAGGCAUCCCCAGUCGGCUGCUGUGGGUAAAAAUCGUGUAUAUCCUCAGGUGACUAAACUGAUAUCAGGACAUGAUCUAGCACUUUCUUACCACACUUGCAGGAGGCCACCCAUUGCCAGGUCACUACCCAUUCAUUCAAAGUCACUUUCCAAGAAACUAGUGGCCCUUGGACCCUACUUCAGAUAUGAAAGGGUGUCAGAACUGCACCAGCCUAUCACCAGCCUAUCACCAGCCCGUCACCAGCCCAUCACCUAGGAUGCAGCAUUUUCCAAACAGCAUCUCCCAUCCAUUUAUAGACUGAAAAAUCAGCUGAGCGGGUGUGUCCAGCAUCUUUUUCUUAAAAAAUGUAAUAGAAAAUAGCAUUCUUCACGCCGAGUCAGGGUCAGUAGCUUGGCAGGUGUGCUCUGGCCCUGUGUGAGUGUUCUCAGACGUGGACGGUGCACUACGGAAGGAGGUCACGUACCUCUGGAGCUGCCAUGUGUUCCUUGCUGUGGAGAAGAAGUCUGCAGGCUCCUGUGCCCAUGGCAACACGGCAGCUGUGAUGCACACACAGUUUGUAAAACAGGGUGCACAAAAGUUGUUUUGCUCUAGCCUGUCCACACUUGGCUCCCAUGUUGGGUGCAGGGUGGAGGUUCUACAUGCCCUGGGGUGAAAUGUGGGAUCAGGAUUAAUGCAUUUUAUCAUAUCCAAAAAAAAUAAAUGGGGUGUACUAUCAGAGACUUGAGAAAUGUGCUCUAUGUAUGUAAUAUGAAAUGAAUUAUAUUCUGCCGUCAUAUAUAACAAAUUAGAUUAAAUAAAUAAUUUAAAAUAAAU
Long non-coding RNA from Ictidomys tridecemlineatus (thirteen-lined ground squirrel), 2859 nucleotides. RefSeq lists it as uncharacterized. NCBI's taxonomy places the organism in Eukaryota, Metazoa, Chordata, Mammalia, Rodentia, Sciuridae. The record is from RefSeq and is a predicted model, not a curated record.